CCAGACUCCUACGGGAGGCAGCAGUGGGGAAUAUUGGGCAAUGGGCGCAAGCCUGACCCAGCAACGCCGCGUGAAGGAAGAAGGCUUUCGGGUUGUAAACUUCUUUUGUCAGGGACGAAGCAAGUGACGGUACCUGACGAAUAAGCCACGGCUAACUACGUGUCAGCAGCCGCGGUAAUACGUAGGUGGCAAGCGUUGUCCGGAUUUACUGGGUGUAAAGGGCGUGUAGCCGGGCCGGCAAGUCAGAUGUGAAAUCCCAGGGCUCAACCUUGGAACUGCAUUUGAAACUGUUGGUCUUGAGUAUCGGAGAGGCAGGCGGAAUUCCUAGUGUAGCGGUGAAAUGCGUAGAUAUUAGGAGGAACACCAGUGGCGAAGGCGGCCUGCUGGACGACAACUGACGGUGAGGCGCGAAAGCGUGGGGAGCAAACAGGAUUAGAUACCCUAGUA
RNAcentral lists this ribosomal RNA (447 nucleotides) under uncultured bacterium. Its description in RNAcentral is "partial 16S ribosomal RNA". It matches the Rfam family "Bacterial small subunit ribosomal RNA", at positions 331 to 792 of the family's 1533-position model. The record is from RNAcentral.